CUCGAUGAGUAGGGCGGGACACGUGGUAUCCUGUCUGAAUAUGGGGGGACCAUCCUCCAAGGCUAAAUACUCCUGACUGACCGAUAGUGAACCAGUACCGUGAGGGAAAGGCGAAAAGAACCCCGGCGAGGGGAGUGAAAAAGAACCUGAAACCGUGUACGUACAAGCAGUGGGAGCACAGGUUUACCUGUGUGACUGCGUACCUUUUGUAUAAUGGGUCAGCGACUUAUAUUCUGUAGCAAGGUUAACCGUAUAGGGGAGCCGGAGGGAAACCGAGUCUUAAUUGGGCGUUAAGUUGCAGGGUAUAGACCCGAAACCCGGUGAUCUAGCCAUGGGCAGGUUGAAGGUUGGGUAACACUAACUGGAGGACCGAACCGACUAAUGUUGAAAAAUUAGCGGAUGACCUGUGGCUGGGGGUGAAAGGCCAAUCAAACCGGGAGAUAGCUGGUUCUCCCCGAAAGCUAUUUAGGUAGCGCCUCGUGAAUUCAUCUCCGGGGGUAGAGCACUGUUUCGGCUAGGGGGCCAUCCCGGCUUACCAACCCGAUGCAAACUGCGAAUACCGGAGAAUGUUAUCACGGGAGACACACGGCGGGUGCUAACGUCCGUCGUGAAGAGGGAAACAACCCAGACCGCCAGCUAAGGUCCCAAAGUCAUGGUUAAGUGGGAAACGAUGUGGGAAGGCCCAGACAGCCAGGAUGUUGGCUUAGAAGCAGCCAUCAUUUAAAGAAAGCGUAAUAGCUCACUGGUCGAGUCGGCCUGCGCGGAAGAUGUAACGGGGCUAAACCAUGCACCGAAGCUGCGGCAGCGAACGUAUCACCCAAGACAACUUUACGGAGUUGACGAUUGACGGAGCGAAGCGACGUCAAAGCGUUCAUUAAAGUCGAGUUGGCUUAGGGAUACGUUCGUUGGGUAGGGGAGCGUUCUGUAAGCCUGUGAAGGUGUGUCGUGAGGCAUGCUGGAGGUAUCAGAAGUGCGAAUGCUGACAUAAGUAACGAUAAAGCGGGUGAAAAGCCCGCUCGCCGGAAGACCAAGGGUUCCUGUCCAACGUUAAUCGGGGCAGGGUGAGUCGACCCCUAAGGCGAGGCCGAAAGGCGUAGUCGAUGGGAAACGGGUUAAUAUUCCCGUACUUGGUGUUACUGCGAAGGGGGGACGGAGAAGGCUAUGUUGGCCGGGCGACGGUUGUCCCGGUUUAAGCGUGUAGGUGUGUGUUCCAGGUAAAUCCGGUUCACUUUAACACUGAGGCGUGACGACGAGGCACUACGGUGCUGAAGCAACAAAUGCCCUGCUUCCAGGAAAAGCCUCUAAGCAUCAGGUAACAUCAAAUCGUACCCCAAACCGACACAGGUGGUCAGGUAGAGAAUACCAAGGCGCUUGAGAGAACUCGGGUGAAGGAACUAGGCAAAAUGGUGCCGUAACUUCGGGAGAAGGCACGCUGACACGUAGGUGAAGUGAUUUACUCAUGGAGCUGAAGUCAGUCGAAGAUACCAGCUGGCUGCAACUGUUUAUUAAAAACACAGCACUGUGCAAACACGAAAGUGGACGUAUACGGUGUGACGCCUGCCCGGUGCCGGAAGGUUAAUUGAUGGGGUCAGCG
RNAcentral lists this ribosomal RNA (1594 nucleotides) under Salmonella enterica subsp. enterica serovar Typhimurium. Its description in RNAcentral is "partial 23S ribosomal RNA". It matches the Rfam family "Bacterial large subunit ribosomal RNA", at positions 404 to 1895 of the family's 2925-position model. The record is from RNAcentral. Lineage: Bacteria; Pseudomonadati; Pseudomonadota; Gammaproteobacteria; Enterobacterales; Enterobacteriaceae.